GGAGAGAUGGCUCAGUGGUUAAGAGCACUGGCUGCUCUCCCAGAGGGCCUGGGUUUGAUUCCCAGCACCC
This is a non-coding RNA of Neotoma lepida (desert woodrat), 70 nucleotides long. The record is from Rfam. Lineage: Eukaryota; Metazoa; Chordata; Mammalia; Rodentia; Cricetidae.